GGGGAUGCAAGGCAUAGACAGUUGGUCAUUUGUCUAAGAUGCAUGUCGAGCAUGAACGUAAUCUCGUAAAAAUUCGUUCACAUGUUAAUUGCAAAAUUGACUCUAGGUGAAAGAUUGUCUCCAUACUUCGGUAUGAAAGAUUUUUCUUUCGCUCCAACCUUCGCUUAGGCCUAGGCUGGCGUCUCUCUCAUAGACUUCCGAUAUAUGAGUAGAGGUGUAAUAUUAUCGGGAUAAGGGAAUAUUCGCUCGCAUAUUUCACCAAAACCUAGAGCUCGGUUAAAAAAUAUUUGGCUCGUUUCUUAAUUUUUUAAUUUAAACAAAAAAGCGUGCUACACAUGUAGACUUUUUAGCAACAACCUUCUGCACUGGGAUUCAAUUUCCCACAUCUCCACUA
This 394-nucleotide transfer-messenger RNA is filed under the name Minisyncoccota bacterium. It matches the Rfam family "transfer-messenger RNA". Rfam says of the family: Bacterial tmRNA, also known as 10Sa RNA or SsrA, is named for its dual tRNA and mRNA-like properties. Its role is to liberate the mRNA from a stalled ribosome. To accomplish this part of the tmRNA is used as a reading frame that ends in a translation stop signal. The record is from RNAcentral. RNAcentral also lists the same sequence under 1 other name. Lineage: Bacteria; Bacillati; Minisyncoccota.